Molecule: transfer RNA, 90 nt
Filed under: Flavobacterium sp.
Lineage: Bacteria; Pseudomonadati; Bacteroidota; Flavobacteriia; Flavobacteriales; Flavobacteriaceae
Also listed under: 6 other names
Description: tRNA-Ser
Rfam family: tRNA
About the family: Transfer RNA (tRNA) molecules are approximately 80 nucleotides in length. Their secondary structure includes four short double-helical elements and three loops (D, anti-codon, and T loops).
Source: RNAcentral
GGAGCGAUACUCAAGAGGCUGAAGAGGACGGUUUGCUAAAUCGUUAGGCGGCUUCGCCGUGCGAGAGUUCGAAUCUCUCUCGCUCCGCCA